Molecule: non-coding RNA, 5264 nt
Organism: Chrysemys picta bellii (western painted turtle)
Lineage: Eukaryota; Metazoa; Chordata; Testudines; Emydidae
Source: RefSeq, a predicted model, not a curated record
GGCUGACAGCUCACGACCCCCCCAUGUAAUAACUUCACGACCCCCUGAGAGUUCCCAACCCCCAGUUUGAGAAUCCCUGGUUUAUACUGAUGAUAGACUACUAACCGCUUUUAACCCUCAACAAUGGAAAAGACUUGAAUCAAGCACCACUGAGAUGAUAACAUCUAUUGUUUGGGUUAAUGUGAUUUAAAUUUUGCUAAAUAUGAUCCUGGGAAAAAUCUGGUAGUAGCAGACACUCUGUCAUGGAGCCCAGCAUCACACUCAUCUACCUGUGAGCUUGAAGAUUACAUAAAGGCUUACAUGGAUGCUCUGGAUGCAUACAGACCAGUGUCAGAAAAGAGACUACACCAGCUAUAGAAAACAACCUUGACAGACUCGCUACUUCAGGAAGUUCUAAGUUACAUUAGAGCCAGCUGGCCUAACUAUCUAAAGGACAAUGAGGAAGUGACAAGAGAGUGCUUUGCAAUGCGUGGACAAUUAAGUGAAUCAAAAUGGACUUACAAUUAAAGGCAAUUGCAUCUUAAUUCCAAACAAAAUGAGAGGAGAAAUCCUAAACCUCAUCCAUGAAGGACAUCAAGGAUUAACUAAAUGCUGCUAAUGGACCAACUAGUUAGUGUAGUAGCUAGGAACCAGCAAAAAUAUAAAGAAUAAAGUAUCUGUAUGUGAACAUUGCAGAACUAACAGACCAACACAACACAAAGAAACUUUAAUAACAACACCUCUACCAGAGAGAUGUUUAAAGAGACUAGCUGCAGAUUUAUGCAAAUUCAGAGAUCAUCAUUACCUGGUCGUCGUGGACUAUUUUUCCAGGUAUAUAGAAAUAAUGUGCUUGAAAGACAUAACAUGUCACAGUGUUACCGAGAAACUGAAGUACGCUUCAUUAUUCCAUAACAGCUAGUGAUGGGCAAUGGACCACAAUUCAUUGCAGCAGAAUUGGUCAUUCCAAACAAAAUAAGAUUUUGAUCAUAUUCCUAACAGCCCACAUUAUCCACAAGCAAAUGGAGAGGCUGAGAGAGCUAUACAGACAGCCAAGAAAAUCCUACAACAGGAAAAUCCAUUCCUUGCUCUUCUGAGUUACAGAUCAACACCAACAGCAGCUACUGGGCAUAACCCAGCACAACUCCUGAUGGGAAGACAACUCAGAACUACUGUUCCAACUUUGGAAAAGAAUCCAGCUCCAAAGUGGCCAGACACGAAGAGAGUUGCCAAAUUGGAUAAAAAGGCUUAAAGAGCUUAUGAAUGCUUUUGCAACAGAUUUCAUUCAGUUAGAGAACUGCUGGGUCUAGAACCUAGUGACGAUGUUCAUAUCAAAUUGGGUGGAGAAAAGGUGUGGACAACUCCAGCUGUCGUAAAGAAAAAGAAUUCAGUGCCCAGAUCAUAUGUGAUUGAUGGUGGAGAGUUAAACAGAAACCAUUGACAUCUACAGUUUGUUCUUCAGAGAGAACAAUGAACAGAGCAAACUCUACAGAUGGUGGAUGGAGAACAGAAGAAGAAGACUCAAGGAUUCGGGACCAACCACAGCCAGUCAUUGCAACUAAUGGACAGCCAGAUGGCUAAGUGGUUGUGUGUUUGGGUUGUUUAAUUGGAAAACAAGUACAAUUCAGAGACACUUAACAGACGGAUACAUCCUGAACUUCAAAGACAGUGUGAUAGUGUAAAUAUUGUAAAUGGUAGGAAUGUAGAACUUAAAUGGAGAGAUGUAAUGGAAUGUGAAACUGUAUUGUACUGUUCAGCCACUAGGUGGCACUGUGUGUAAAAUACCUCAUUUAAGCUAACCUCAGCCAUACCUGGCAGAGCAUUAAAGGAUCUUAUGACGAACACGCCUGAAUGAGGCGACGAGAGGCCCAGCUGUUCUAGGAAAAGUACAAGUCGAGUCAGCAGCUGUGAAUUCCAGUUCUAGGAAUUGCAGUUGUGGGUCCUGGUGGAAACUUCCUGGAAUUCUCUCUGCCAUUCGAAGGAAAGCAAAAUAACUAUUUCAGUGACCUUAAACUCCCAAAGACUUAGGAGCAAGAGUUUGGAGGCAGCAGAGAUAGAAGGGGUUAAUAUUUUUCUCCUGUAAUUCAGUAGGUUGUUUGGCUUUUGUACUUUAUUUAACGUCAGGGCAACUGGCAUGAGAAAGCGAGCAAGAGAGUUCGCGCCACAGACAGAAGAAGAUAGCUGUAGUGACCACAGGAAUUUUUAAAAGGGAGGUACGGUAAAAAGGUCAGAGUUUUCAGUCAUCAGCCACAACCUCUUUGUGAAAGGUCAGUGUCUGUGUCAGACCUGGGAGACACCCAUAACCAACCUCACACAACCACAGGGCCAUGAAUAAAAGGACCCAGAAAGCCACCAACAGAAAAUGGUGCUGUUGUGUAAGCUGUAACUCAAGACAGCAGGUGCCACCUGGCACUAUGUUGCCUCUGUUAAUUGUUCACCCAUUCUCAGCCCAGUCAGGGAUUUGUCACUUGCUCUCUCCAAACAGGAAAUGAUGGGGAGAUUUCUCCAGUAACCGUGCAAAGCAAUUAAGGAAACAGACUCAGCAUGGCAUGUACAAAGUAACCCUGUUUUCCACACUGUCGGCAGCCAUACGCACAUCUGCUCCUCAGUCUUGGGGAGGAGUGUUCUCACCAUCCUGAGUUAUUUUAAUAGUCCAUCUCCCUUCUGUGCAGCACCACGUAGGCACCAUGUUUGACUUAAAAUCAGCAGCGGCAUUAGGGGGGAAAAGUUUGACAAGUGGGCAUUCAGCUCAAAAGCACUGUCAUAGGUUACAUGCAGCCCUGUUACAAGUGUACACAUUAGUACCUAUUUUUCUUCUCUUACAAGUUUUAACUCCCAAAGGGUCGGCAGCCCCUCUUAACAGAUUCUGAAAGAGAUACUUUAGCUCUGCCAUAGGUUAUUGAGCUUGAGGCAGGAAUUACGGUUUGAAAUUCUCUGGCCUAUGUUAUGCAAGAGGUCAAACUAGAUGCUCAGAAUAGUCCCUUCCAGCCUUAAUAUCAAAAAAUCUAUUCAUUUAACCUGGCUGUUUCCACUCAGCACUUGUUCCUUAGUUUACAUUUGCCCCCAGUCACCCUUUGUGGGUCAGAUGAUAGAUUUUGGAGACUUCACAUCCAAACCGAGACCUUAACCCCCUUCUUGCAUUUCAUUGUGUGUCUGUACAUAAUGGGAUGGGUUUGCUAUGAGAUGGCAACUGACACUAGACAAACUCAGGCUGGAAAUAAGGUAUACAUUUGUAACAGUGAAGGUAAUUAAUCAUUGGAACAACUUAACCAGGAUCGUGGUGGAUUCUCCAUCGCUUGCAAUUUUUAAAUUAAAAUUGGAUUUUUUUUAAAAAAAGAUCUGCUCUAGUUUGAAAUGAAUUAUUAUGGGGAAGUCCUGUGCUAUACAGAAGGUCAGACUGGAUGAUCAGAGUGGUCCCUUCUGGCCUUGGGAUUGCAUUUCACUGCAGCUAAAUGAGAACCCAGGCUCCUUGUGGCAUCCUAGGCAGCAGUUCUACUAGGUGAACCAAAGGGCACCCUCCCAUUGGCCAAGCCAGCAGGAGCCAUGCUGAGCUGCUGUCAGGAGAAGCAGCUCGUGCAUUCUGGGUCUUCACUCUUUCCCCUUCAUUAUUUUCUCCCUAAUGUGCUCAGAUACCACAGUGAUGUGAGCUUGAUUGAUAACGAUGCUGUGGUGCACCUCCUUUGUGGCACACCUCUCCUGAGUCUGUGCUGCUGCUGAGUUGGUGCAAUGCCCAGUAUAAGGGGCUGCUUUCACCUAUAUCACAAAAGCUGUUGGUGGACUGUGUUAGACUAGAAUCUUCAUUCCAUCCCUGGCAUGGCCCCUCCCUCCCAGUAAACCCCCGAUACUCCUGUUUGUGAGACAGGCAAGUAGGGAUGCUCGUGCUAGGGAAAUUGUUUCUAGGCCCCUCACAGUGCAUGUAUGCGGCUGGAAUGGUGUACAUGGGCCAAAGCAGCAGAAAGAAUAUCUCCCAUAAAGUUACCCCUUCAUUGUUAAUUUGUAGAUCUGUAACCUCUCCUCUAUCUCCUUUCAUAUCCUCCUGGCUUCAAGCGUCUUUAUUUUCAUUUCUUACCCCAGUUUUUUCUCUGCAUUUCCCUCACCCUCUUUUCUUUGUUCUUCUCUUUUUUUCUCCUGUGUGUGUGGGGUGUGUGUUUAAAAUAAUUUGCCUUUGCUGCUUGUUUCUUUCCUUUUGAGAAAAGAACAGGAUGGAGAUCAGGCCAGUCAAACAAUUUCAUACUGAGUUUAAAAGCAAACCAAACCCAGGUUUCUUUGUGUUUCAGUUCCUUUUGCUAGUGUAAGUAGCUGCAGGUGGCACAUUUUACAAAUCUGCUCAGUAGAAUGCAAAGUUAUUAGCAGCUAAUGCUCAUGUUGGUGAAGAGCCCAUCAAGGCUUCAGAUAUUAUUUACAUGCAAGAAAGUCUCCAAUAGUGAUUUUUUUAAAGGAAAACUUUUUGCCUUUAUGGCAAACUAAAAACAGAUAGAAGCUAUGAAGUGACAGUCAGUGUGAUGAAUUCAUAUAUUCCAAGGCUGGAAGGAACCAGUGUGAUCAUCUAGUCUGACCUCCUGUAUAACACAGGCCAUAGAACUCCCCCAAAAUAAUUCCUAGAGCAGAUCUUUUAGGAAAUCAUUCAAUCUUGAUUUAAAAGUUAUAAGUGAUGGAAAAUCCACCACAACUCUUGAUAAAUUCUUCCAGUGCUAAUUACCCUCGCUGUUAAAAAUUUACACCUUAUUUCCAGUCUGAAUUUUGCUAGCUUCAACUUCCAGCCAUUGAAUCAUGUUACACCUUUCUCUGCUAGAUUGAAGAGCCCAUUAUGAAAUCCUUGUUUCCCAUGUAGGUACAUAUAGCCUGUAAUCAAGUCACCCCUUAACCUUAUUUUUGUUAACCCAAAUUGAGCUCUUAGAGUGUGUCACUAUAAGGCAUGUUUUCUAAUCCUUUAAUCAGUCUCAUGGCUCUUCUCUGAAACCUCUCCAGUUUACUCUCCAGUGAACUAUGUCCAGUUCUGCUGCUCACUCAAGAUUCCCCUGUUUAUAUAUCCACAGAUCGCAUUAACCCUUUUGGCUGCAGCAUAGCACUGUGAGCUUGUGUUUAGCUGAUGAUCCACCACAACCCCCAAUCUUUUUCAGAGUCACUGCUUCCCAGGACAGAGUUCCCUAUCUUGCAAGUUCUUACAACGAGCUGUGCAGUGAUUCCUGGGAUUACAGAGUGAACAUCUCCAAAGUAAAUGGCUUAAUCUCAGAGAAAGCAGAGGAGAGCUUGCGUCCUUUCCUACAAGGAACAGAUGUUCGAAAUGG